AACGAACGCUGGCGGCAGGCCUAACACAUGCAAGUCGAGCGCCCCGCAAGGGGAGCGGCGGACGGGUGAGUAACGCGUGGGAACGUACCCUUUGCUACGGAAUAGCCUCGGGAAACUGGGAGUAAUACCGUAUGUGCCCUUCGGGGAAAGAUUUAUCGGCAAAGGAUCGGCCCGCGUUGGAUUAGGUAGUUGGUGGGGUAAUGGCCUACCAAGCCGACGAUCCAUAGCUGGUUUGAGAGGAUGAUCAGCCACACUGGGACUGAGACACGGCCCAGACUCCUACGGGAGGCAGCAGUGGGGGAAUCUUAGACAAUGGGCGCAAGCCUGAUCUAGCCAUGCCGCGUGAGCGAUGAAGGCCUUAGGGUUGUAAAGCUCUUUCAGUGGGGAAGAUAAUGACUGUACCCACAGAAGAAGCCCGGCUAACUCCGUGCCAGCAGCCGCGGUAAAGUCAGUG
Molecule: ribosomal RNA, 454 nt
Filed under: uncultured bacterium
Lineage: Bacteria
Description: bacterial SSU rRNA
Rfam family: Bacterial small subunit ribosomal RNA
Source: RNAcentral